RNAcentral lists this ribosomal RNA (466 nucleotides) under uncultured bacterium. RNAcentral describes it as "partial 16S ribosomal RNA". It matches the Rfam family "Bacterial small subunit ribosomal RNA", at positions 28 to 507 of the family's 1533-position model. The record is from RNAcentral.
GAUGAACGCUGGCGGCGUGCUUAACACAUGCAAGUCGAACGGAAAGGCUCCUGCUUGCAGGGGUACUCGAGUGGCGAACGGGUGAGUAACACGUGGGUGAUCUGCCCUGCACUUCGGGAUAAGCCUGGGAAACUGGGUCUAAUACCGGAUAGGACGAUGGUUUGGAUGCCAUUGUGGAAAGUUUUUUCGGUGUGGGAUGAGCUCGCGGCCUAUCAGCUUGUUGGUGGGGUAAUGGCCUACCAAGGCGUCGACGGGUAGCCGGCCUGAGAGGGUGUGCGGCCACAUUGGGACUGAGAUACGGCCCAGACUCCUACGGGAGGCAGCAGUGGGGAAUAUUGCACAAUGGGCGCAAGCCUGAUGCAGCGACGCCGCGUGGGGGAUGACGGCCUUCGGGUUGUAAACUCCUUUCGCUAGGGACGAAGCGCAAGUGACGGUACCUGGAGAAGAAGCACCGGCUAACUACGUG